RNAcentral lists this ribosomal RNA (395 nucleotides) under uncultured bacterium. RNAcentral describes it as "partial 16S ribosomal RNA". It matches the Rfam family "Bacterial small subunit ribosomal RNA", at positions 523 to 918 of the family's 1533-position model. The record is from RNAcentral.
AUACGUAGGGUGCAAGCGUUAAUCGGAAUUACUGGGCGUAAAGCGUGCGCAGGCGGUUUUGUAAGACAGUGGUGAAAUCCCCGGGCUCAACCUGGGAACUGCCAUUGUGGCUGCAAGGCUGGAGUGCGGGAGAGGGGGAUGGAAUUACGCGUGUAGCAGUGAAAUGCGUAGAUAUGCGGAGGAACACCGAUGGCGAAGGCAAUCCCCUGGGCCUGCACUGACGCUCAUACACGAAAGCGUGGGGAGCAAACAGGAUUAGAUACCCUGGUAGUCCACGCCCUAAACGAUGUCAACUGGUUGUUGGGUCUUCAUUGACUCAGUAACGAAGCUAACGCGUGAAGUUGACCGCCUGGGGAGUACGGCCGCAAGGUUGAAACUCAAAUGAAUUGGCGGGG